UCAGUUUUGCUCUAAUUUAGCCUAAAUCAUGUUUUACACAAAGCUGAUUAAAUUAAAUUACUACUAUUAUGUAGAUGCAUUUUUUAUAAGUAAUGCUGAAAAUGCAUAUUGAAUUCUUCUUAUUAUUAUUGUUUUUGCAUUGCAUUGAAAGAGAAUGUCAUAAGAAAUAGAAAUGGUUUUGUUCCUUAAAUAGCCAUUGCAUAAGAUUGUUUGACUAAUCUCGCAUUCCCUGUGUAUCAGUCUCUCCAUAGACCUUCUAUAGUUCUUUGAAGUAUAUUUCAUAUUAAGGUAUAUAUUAUCUCUUUUCAAUGUAGGAAGGGAUUUAUUUGCAAUGGGUUUUUUUUUAUUUAUACUAGAAAAAGUAUCGCCAUUAUUUCCUUUAAUUUUAAGAAAUCGGUCUAAUUGAAAUGGUAAAAAUUAAUCUAAUUUUAUGAAAUACAGAUGUCACUUAAAAAAAGAAGAUGAUUAAGGCCUAUGCAUGUUUCUAGGUCAAUCUAGUCAUGCAUGUUGAUCAUUGACUGAAAUUCUGCCAAGUCUUAGGUUUUGUGACUCACUUAGGCAGCCCAUUCCAUGCUCUAGGGAAGAAGGAGCAUUUAUACAAAUUUGCCCCUAGCGUAUGGAACAAGAAAUGUGCCUUUAUCUUUGUGUCUGAGUAUUUUAUUGGGUUUUGUUUUUGUAUUUGAAGAUUAUGGUUCAGUGUUUUAUGCUUUCUUAAUUAAGUGAUUUUAGUGCCUAAGAAUUAUACAAAGGCCCAGUGGCUGAAUGAAAUAGGACUUUCAGUGUUAAAAUUCUAUAAUAUUAGGUUAAAAACAGACAAAAUGCAGUAGGCUAUAUUUCAGCUUUAUCCAAUACCACACAGAAAAUAUUUUUUUCUUGAGCACGAGAAUUUUGCCAUCCACUCACUACAUAGAAACUUAACUUUAUUUGAAUAUUUUUUGUAUUUUGUCUAAAUAUUGUUUAAAGAAAUUAACACCAUAAUAUUUUUUAAGAUGAAUGUUUGCUGUUGUAUUUAGAAAUGGUAAAUCUUCACAGACAUUGCAAUGUUAUCUUUUGAAUUUAUUCCCUAAUCAGGUAAUCAUGCAUCACGUGCCCUCAGAUAUGUACAAAAAAUGAAGUUUGAGAAGAAAGAGAAAGGAUCAAGAUGAUUUACAAGACACUAAAGAAGUUAUCUAUCAACUAUACUCAAUGUAUGGACGACUUGCAGCCAGACUAGAAUUAUAGAGUAAGAUGUUUUUCUGCUGGCUAAACAUGUAUGGAUAAUGAUGCAGAGAAUUUCCUGGUGAUCAAGAAUUAGGAGCUGCACACAGUUUAAUGAAACCAUAUUUUAGGAACAGAUAGAAAACAAAGAACUGCAGCAAAGAUGGCCUGUUUUUAUUCUUCCUCAUG
Biomphalaria glabrata is the source of this 1386-nucleotide long non-coding RNA. RefSeq lists it as uncharacterized. The transcript is spliced from 4 exons. The record is from RefSeq and is a predicted model, not a curated record. NCBI's taxonomy places the organism in Eukaryota, Metazoa, Mollusca, Gastropoda, Planorbidae.